This 1234-nucleotide unclassified non-coding RNA is filed under the name Melitaea cinxia (Glanville fritillary). Its description in RNAcentral is "misc RNA ENSMCXG00005008465.1". Lineage: Eukaryota; Metazoa; Arthropoda; Insecta; Lepidoptera; Nymphalidae. The record is from RNAcentral.
AUUUUAAGAAGGAAAGAGUCUGAAAAUACUAAUGAGGCAAUUGAGGAUGAAAGUGGAAAAUAAUGUUACUUUAACAAUGUAUGUGCGUCCUGAUAAAUAAUAAAAGUAGGUAUUUAUUUGAAUUAUACGAGGAAAGCAUGAAAUCUGUCUUUUUUUACUUUACCUACUGUUUUCUCCUGUUUUUUUAUUGAUGAGCUGCUGAUUCUUAGUUUCUUGGGGUUGGCAACACAGCUCAGAGAUCACAUUAAAAACAUGUCAAAAUUUUCAAUCUAACUUGUACCUUCUAUUUAUUUUAUAUAACGCAUAGUAAAAAGUAUUUUAAUUCCACAAAGCCUGAAAAAUAAAAUAAAUUAAAAAUGGCAAACGAAGAACCAACAGAUCUGGAUUGGAUACAAUUACGCCGAGAAAUGGGACCGGCUCACCAUGUUGAAACUAGUAAAGAAAAAUUUGUACGAAAAUUUGGUGAAAAUCCGUUUGUUCCUAUAGGUUGCCUUGCUACUGCUGGGGCAUUAUCAUAUGGUUUAUGGUGCUUUCGUACUGGCAGAACUAAACUAUCACAACAAAUGAUGCGAGCUAGAAUUGUCGCACAAGGAUUUACAAUAACUGCUUUAGUUGUUGGUGUUGUAAUGACUGCUGGAAAAACUUUGAAGUAAUUAGCAGCUUUAUAAUUAAAAAAACAAAAAUAUAUAUCUAUUUCAUCAUAGUGGUAAUAAAUUUUAAUGGAUGAUAGUAAUGAUACUAUUUACAAUAUUAUGUAAAUUAACACAAAUAAAGUCUUAAUAUUCUCAUAUGAACAAAUGUUUUAUUUUUAUUUUAUUUCAACUAAAAAUUACAAAAUACUUGAAAUUUAAAAGUUAAAUAAUUGUCUAGUCGUAAACCUAAAUAUUUUUCAUGUUUUCUGCUCGAUUGGAAAGUUGUCAACAGUUUGUGGAUCAUGCGGUGCAAUAAUUUUAAGUUUUAAAUAUAAUUUAACUUGUUUUGGAAGUGUUAAAAGUUAAAAGAUUGUGAUAGAACCAAUUAUGCAGAACAUCUACACCUUGUUGAGCUUGAGUAAUUAUGUCUUUUAUGUUACUACCAAAACAAAAUAAACAGGUGUCAUCUGCAUACAUUCAGAUGACCAUUUAGUUUCAAAGUUGCAACAUCUCUGACAUUGGCAAAUCCUCACGGAAGCCAAUUAUACAAGAAGAAGUUGCAACAUCAUUUAUAUAAAUUCCGGCGGCUGGUCGAAGACAAA